RNAcentral lists this ribosomal RNA (594 nucleotides) under Stereocaulon tomentosum. Its description in RNAcentral is "mitochondrial SSU rRNA". It matches the Rfam family "Bacterial small subunit ribosomal RNA", at positions 373 to 999 of the family's 1533-position model. Lineage: Eukaryota; Fungi; Ascomycota; Lecanoromycetes; Lecanorales; Stereocaulaceae. The record is from RNAcentral.
AAGCAACAGCUGAUUGCACCAACUAAUAGUUGAUGCAAGAUUGACUAUGUCAAAUAAAAUUCUGGCUAGAACUAUGAUAAUGACAUAAUCUACCCAAGUCUUGACCAAUUUGCGUGCCAGCAGUCGCGGUAAUACGUAUAAGGCUAGUGUUAUUCAUAUUUAUUGGGUUUAAAGGGUACUUAGACGGUAGAUCAAGCCUUGCAAGGUACUAAUUUACUAGAGUUACUUACGAGGGGGUAUUAAAGUACUGCAGGUUUAGAGAUGAAAUUCUAUCAUACCUCUUUUCAAUAGAAAAAUUAUGGCACAGGUAUAGGUGAAAACAUCCCCUUAUGUGAUAACUGACGUUGAAGAACGAAGGCUUUGUGUAGCGAACAGGAUUAGAUACCCUAGUAGUCAAAGCAGAAAAUGAUGAAUGCCAUAGAUUAGAUAAAUAGUUUAUUCUAUAAAUGAAAGUGUAAGCAUUCCACCUCAAGAGUAAUUUGGCAACAUUGGAACUGAAAUCAUUAGACCGUUUYUGAAACCMGUAGUGAAGUAUGUCGUUUAAUUUGAUAAUCCGCAAAAAACCUUACCAUACGAAUAUGUAUAUUUAUAUAU